GGGGAGGCAGCGCGUUGGGGGGGGGGACGCGACACAGCUCGGGCCCGACAGUGCCCCAACGGGGUCCUAGUUAUUAGGGCCCGAGCGUAGCUGCUAAGCAGCUGCGAGAGCCCUCUUGUUCCUGAUGGAUUCUUCUUUCGUUAUUUUUCCUCCGCUUUAAACUGGAAAAUGGCCCACUUCCCACUGGCGAAAACUCUGGAAAUUUGGCAGGACGACCGGGCCUGGUGAAAAAUUUGAUAUUCUGAAGUCGCCCAAACAAAAAAAUGAAAAAUUGCUCCAUAGCGCCCCCUAUGGUGAAAACUCACCUGACGCCUGUACGCUUUGUCAAAAUGACACAAAAUUUGACACACAUGUGUAUCUCAAUAAGAUCUACAAAAAAGUCAGUGCGGGCGUAUCUGUCAAAUGUACGGUUAAAGGGCUAUUUCGCAUUUUUUGCCGAUCCGCACACAUUGGAAUUUCGCUAACUCCUCCGAAGGCUUUUGUUCCACCGGCACCAAAUCUGCUCAGGCCAAUCUACACCCCAUGGCCAUUAAAAGUUGUACAAAUCAUGACGCUGCACCCCACGGUUUAUGUUCUAGGGGGCGCCAAAGAUAACCCAAAAAUCCACAUUCUUAAAAGUCUUAUAACUUUUUAUUUUUGUCCUCACUGGCCUCCAAGUUUUCUAGGAUGAUGCUAUGUCCAGCCAUCAACACAUGUGUGAAGGAAUUUUUACUCCCCAAAAGAGCGCCCCCCCAUGGCAGGAGAAAAAAGUCAAGUUUUUCUUGUCCCCUAACAUGAAAAUACACAUUGUUGAGUGUCACGCCUAAACGCUUUGUCAUAUUGACACAAAAAUUGACACACACGUGUAUCUCAAUAAGAUCUACGAAAAAGUCAAAGAGCGCGUAUCUGUAUAAUGUACGGUUAAAGGUUUAUUUCGCAUUUUUUGCCGAUCCGCACACAUUGGAAUUUCGCUAACUCCUCCGAAGGCUUUCGUUCCACCGGCACCAAAUUUGCUCAGGCCAAUCUACACCCCAUGGCCAUUAAAAGUUGUAAAAAUCAUGACGCUGCACCCCACGGUUUAGGUUCUAGGGGGCGCCAAAGAUAACCCUAAAAUCCAAAUAUUUAAAAGUCUUAUAACUUUUUAUUUUUGUCCUCACUGGCCUCCAAGUUUUCUAGGAUGAUGCAAUGUCCAGCCAUCAACACAUUUGUGAAGGAAUUUUUACUCCCCAAAAGAGCGCCCCCC
Non-coding RNA from Xyrichtys novacula (pearly razorfish), 1222 nucleotides. The record is from the annotation of a GenBank genome assembly. Lineage: Eukaryota; Metazoa; Chordata; Actinopteri; Labriformes; Labridae.